UACAGAGGUCUCAAGCGUUGUUCGGAUUCAUUGGGCGUAAAGGGUGUGUAGGUGGCGCCGUAAGUCGGGUGUGAGAUUUCGGAGCUUAACUCCGAAACUGCAUUCGAUACUGCGGUGCUUGAGGACUGGAGAGGAGACUGGAAUUUACGGUGUAGCAGUGAAAUGCGUAGAUAUCGUAAGGAAGACCAGUGGCGAAGGCGGGUCUCUGGACAGUUCCUGACACUGAGACACGAAGGCCAGGGGAGCAAACGGG
RNAcentral lists this ribosomal RNA (253 nucleotides) under uncultured bacterium. RNAcentral describes it as "partial 16S ribosomal RNA". It matches the Rfam family "Bacterial small subunit ribosomal RNA", at positions 524 to 776 of the family's 1533-position model. The record is from RNAcentral.